Molecule: ribosomal RNA, 378 nt
Filed under: uncultured bacterium
Lineage: Bacteria
Description: bacterial SSU rRNA
Rfam family: Bacterial small subunit ribosomal RNA
Source: RNAcentral
UAAUACGUAGGGCGCAAGCGUUAUCCGGAAUUAUUGGGCGUAAAGAGCUCGUAGGCGGUUUGUCGCGUCUGCCGUGAAAGUCCGGGGCUCAACUCCGGAUCUGCGGUGGGUACGGGCAGACUAGAGUGAUGUAGGGGAGACUGGAAUUCCUGGUGUAGCGGUGAAAUGCGCAGAUAUCAGGAGGAACACCGAUGGCGAAGGCAGGUCUCUGGGCAUUAACUGACGCUGAGGAGCGAAAGCAUGGGGAGCGAACAGGAUUAGAUACCCUGGUAGUCCAUGCCGUAAACGUUGGGCACUAGGUGUGGGGGACAUUCCACGUUUUCCGCGCCGUAGCUAACGCAUUAAGUGCCCCGCCUGGGGAGUACGGCCGCAAGGCUA